This 479-nucleotide ribosomal RNA is filed under the name uncultured bacterium. Its description in RNAcentral is "bacterial SSU rRNA". It matches the Rfam family "Bacterial small subunit ribosomal RNA", at positions 28 to 514 of the family's 1533-position model. The record is from RNAcentral.
GACGAACGCUGGCGGCGUGCUUAACACAUGCAAGUCGAACGGUGAAGGAAGAGCUUGCUCUUCCGGAUCAGUGGCGAACGGGUGAGUAACACGUGGGCAACCUGCCCCUGACUCUGGGAUAACUCCUCGAAAGAGGUGCUAAUACCGGGUACGACCACUUCGGACAUCCGAUGGUGGUGGAAAGUUUUCGGUCAGGGAUGGGCCCGCGGCCUAUCAGCUAGUUGGUGGGGUAAUGGCCUACCAAGGCGACGACGGGUAGCCGGCCUGAGAGGGCGACCGGCCACACUGGGACUGAGACACGGCCCAGACUCCUACGGGAGGCAGCAGUGGGGAAUAUUGCGCAAUGGGCGAAAGCCUGACGCAGCGACGCCGCGUGAGGGAUGAAGGCCUUCGGGUUGGUUAAACCUACUUUCUAGCAGGGACGAAGCGAAAGUAGACGGUACCUGCAGAAGAAGCACCGGCUAACUACGUGCCAGCAG